This 383-nucleotide ribosomal RNA is filed under the name uncultured eukaryote. Its description in RNAcentral is "partial 18S ribosomal RNA". It matches the Rfam family "Eukaryotic small subunit ribosomal RNA", at positions 592 to 976 of the family's 1831-position model. The record is from RNAcentral.
CAAUAGCGUAUAUUAAAGUUGUUGCAGUUAAAAAGCUCGUAGUUGGAUUUCUGGUGGGAGCGAUCGGUCUGGCGCUUAGCGCGAGUACUUGCAUCGUCUCCGGCCAUCCUUGGGGAGAGUCUGUCUGGCAUUAGGUUGUCGGGCAGAGGAUCCUCAUCGUUUACUGUGAAAAAAUUAGAGUGUUCAAAGCAGGCUUACGCCGUUGAAUAUAUUAGCAUGGAAUAAUAAGAUAGGACUUUGGUACUAUUUUGUUGGUUUGCGCACCAAAGUAAUGAUUAAUAGGGACAGUUGGGGGUAUUCGUAUUCCGUUGUCAGAGGUGAAAUUCUUGGAUUUACGGAAGACGAACUACUGCGAAAGCAUUUACCAAGGAUGUUUUCAUUAA